GGAUGUGAGGGCGAUCUGGUUGGAACAUCUAUCACCCCAUUGAUUACCAGGGUUGAUUCAGUUGAUCUGGCUGACUAGGCGAGUGUACCUUUCUUCCCUUACCACUCCACGCGCUACCCUCCUGAAGCUGCAUGCUUGGUUGAAGAGGACGACCAUCCCUGCUAGAGGAGGAUCAUUCUUCAGGCAAGGGUAUACAAGUAGCUGCGCUCCCCUGCUAGAACCUGCAAACAAGCUCUAAAAUUAACCAUUAAUCAUUCCACUUCAAAACCACUCCAUCUCAUAUCUGUUAAUAAUAAUUCAG
This 301-nucleotide small nuclear RNA is filed under the name Carlito syrichta (Philippine tarsier). Its description in RNAcentral is "7SK RNA (ENSTSYG00000030326.1)". It matches the Rfam family "7SK RNA". From Rfam's summary of the family: 7SK was discovered as an abundant small nuclear RNA in the mid-70s but a possible function has only recently been suggested. Two independent studies have found that 7SK RNA binds the CDK9/cyclin T complex (known as elongation factor P-TEFb). P-TEFb activates transcription by phosphorylating the C-terminal domain of RNA polymerase II. The record is from RNAcentral. Lineage: Eukaryota; Metazoa; Chordata; Mammalia; Primates; Tarsiidae.